GAGCUGGUGUUGGCAAACACUGCUGUAAAUCAAAUGUGUACACCUGUAACGUGUCAUCAUUCUUGCACAUUAGCGUGUCAGCUCGUUUCAUUUCAUAGGCUUGAUCAGCUAGCG
Molecule: non-coding RNA, 114 nt
Organism: Bombyx mori (domestic silkworm)
Lineage: Eukaryota; Metazoa; Arthropoda; Insecta; Lepidoptera; Bombycidae
Source: RefSeq, marked provisional